RNAcentral lists this ribosomal RNA (253 nucleotides) under uncultured bacterium. Its description in RNAcentral is "partial 16S ribosomal RNA". It matches the Rfam family "Bacterial small subunit ribosomal RNA", at positions 524 to 776 of the family's 1533-position model. The record is from RNAcentral.
UACGUAGGGUACAAGCGUUAAUCGGAAUUACUGGGCGUAAAGCGUGCGCAGGCGGUUAUGCAAGACAGAGGUGAAAUCCCCGGGCUCAACCUGGGAACUGCCUUUGUGACUGCAUAGCUAGAGUACGGUAGAGGGGGAUGGAAUUCCGCGUGUAGCAGUGAAAUGCGUAGAUAUGCGGAGGAACACCGAUGGCGAAGGCAAUCCCCUGGACCUGUACUGACGCUCAUGCACGAAAGCGUGGGGAGCAAACAGG